UCCUCCCUCAAACCCCGGGUUUGGUGUUGGACCGCCGUACGACUUCGGUCAUACUGGUCCCAAAGACAAUGACGGCGUCCGUGGGACCCCUCUGCGCAACGAGCUUUCACGAGCACGCGCAAAAAGGACCCCGCGGGCCGGUCUCCCCCUUUUACUUCUAAA
RNAcentral lists this unclassified non-coding RNA (162 nucleotides) under uncultured Herpotrichiellaceae. RNAcentral's name for it is "sequence contains ITS2". Lineage: Eukaryota; Fungi; Ascomycota; Eurotiomycetes; Chaetothyriales; Herpotrichiellaceae. The record is from RNAcentral.